RNAcentral lists this ribosomal RNA (1423 nucleotides) under 'Mukaria splendida' phytoplasma. RNAcentral's name for it is "bacterial SSU rRNA". It matches the Rfam family "Bacterial small subunit ribosomal RNA". The record is from RNAcentral. Lineage: Bacteria; Bacillati; Mycoplasmatota; Mollicutes; Acholeplasmatales; Acholeplasmataceae.
GUUUUAGUGGCGAACGGGUGAGUAACACGUAAGCAACCUACCCUAAAGACGAGGAUAACCAUUGGAAACAGUGGCUAAGACUGGAUAGGAAGAUAAAAGGCAUCUUUUAUCUUUUAAAAGACCUAGUAAUAGGUAUGCUUUAGGAGGGGCUUGCGCCAUAUUAGUUAGUUGGUAGGGUAAUGGCCUACCAAGACGAUGAUGUGUAGCUGGACUGAGAGGUUGAACAGCCACAUUGGGACUGAGACACGGCCCAAACUCCUACGGGAGGCAGCAGUAGGGAAUUUUCGGCAAUGGAGGAAACUCUGACCGAGCAACGCCGCGUGAAUGACGAAGUACUUCGGUAUGUAAAGUUCUUUUAUCAAGGAAGAAAAGCAAAUGGCGAACCAUUUGUUUGCCGGUACUUGAUGAAUAAGCCCCGGCUAAUUAUGUGCCAGCAGCCGCGGUAAGACAUAAGGGGCAAGUGUUAUCCGGAAUUAUUGGGCGUAAAGGGUGCGUAGGCGGUCUAGUAAGUCAGUGGUGUAAUGGCAACGCUUAACGUUGUCCGGCUAUUGAAACUGCUAAACUUGAGUUAGAUAGAGGCGAGUGGAAUUCCAUGUGUAGCGGUAAAAUGCGUAAAUAUAUGGAGGAACACCAGAGGCGUAGGCGGCUCGCUGGGUCUUAACUGACGCUGAGGCACGAAAGCGUGGGGAGCAAACAGGAUUAGAUACCCUGGUAGUCCACGCCGUAAACGAUGAGUACUAAGUGUCGGGUUAAACCGGUACUGAAGUUAACACAUUAAGUACUCCGCCUGAGUAGUACGUACGCAAGUAUGAAACUUAAAGGAAUUGACGGGACUCCGCACAAGCGGUGGAUCAUGUUGUUUAAUUCGAAGAUACCCGAAAAACCUUACCAGGUCUUGACAUGUUUUUGCAAAAUGAUAGUAAUAUCGUGGAGGUUACCAGAAACACAGGUGGUGCAUGGUUGUCGUCAGCUCGUGUCGUGAGAUGUUAGGUUAAGUCCUAAAACGAGCGAAACCCUUAUCGUUAGUUGCCAGCACGUUAUGGUGGGGACUUUAACGAGACUGCCAAUGAUAAAUUGGAGGAAGGUGAGGAUCACGUCAAAUCAGCAUGCCCCUUAUGACCUGGGCUACAAACGUGAUACAAUGGCUGUUACAAAGGGUAGCUGAAACGCAAGUUCUUGGCCAAUCCCCAAAAACAGUCCCAGUCCGGAUUGAAGUCUGCAACUCGACUUCAUGAAGUUGGAAUCGCUAGUAAUCGCGAAUCAGCAUGUCGCGGUGAAUACGUUCUCGGGGUUUGUACACACCGCCCGUCAAACCACGAAAGUUGGCAAUACCCCAAAACGGUAGCCUAACUCGUUUAUUCGAGAGGGCGCCGUCUAAGGUAGGGUCGAUGAUUGGGGUUAAGUCGUAACAAGGUAUCCCUAC